GCCACCGAAAGGUGGUCUAAUACUUCAUAAUAUCCAUCUCGUAUGGAUUAAAGCUUUAUGCGCUUUGGGAGGGGCCUGCGUAACAUUAGCUAGUUGGUGAGGUAAAAAGCUCACCAAGGCUUCGAUGUUUAACUGGUUUGAGAGGAUGACCAGUCACACUGGGACUGAGAUACGGCCCAGACUCCUACGGGAGGCAGCAGUAAGGAAUCUUCCACAAUGGGGCAACCCUGAUGGAGCAAUACCGCGUGCAGGAUGAAGCGUUUCGGCGUGUAAACUGCUUUUAUCACCGAAGAUUAUGACUGUAGGUGAAGAAUAAGGACCGGCUAACUACGUG
This 334-nucleotide ribosomal RNA is filed under the name uncultured bacterium. Its description in RNAcentral is "bacterial SSU rRNA". It matches the Rfam family "Bacterial small subunit ribosomal RNA", at positions 147 to 507 of the family's 1533-position model. The record is from RNAcentral.